GAUCCUGCCGGACCCUACUGCUAUCGGGAUGGGACUAAGACAUGCUAGUCGUGCGCCUCCAAGCCAUGCUGGAAGCGCGGCGCACAGCUCAGUAGCACGUGGUUAACCUGCCCUUGGGACGGGAACAACCCCGGGAAACUGGGGCUAAUCCCUGAUAGGUGAAGAACUCUGGAAUGAGUCUUCACCCAAAAGACGCCUAGGCCACGCUUCUAGGCGCCGCCCAAGGAUGGGGCCGCGACCGAUCAGGUUGUUGGUGAGGUAACGGCCUACCAAGCCUUUUACCGGUACGGGCCGUGAGAGCGGGAGCCCGGAGAUGGGCACUGAGACAAGGGCCCAGGCCCUACGGGGGCGCAGCAGUCGCGAAAACUCCGCAAUACGCGAAGGCGUGACGGGGCUAUCCCGAGUGCCGUCCGCUGAGGAUGGCUUUUCCCUAGUGUAGAUAGCUGGGGGAAUAAGGAGAGGGCAAGUCUGGUGUCAGCCGCCGCGGUAAUACCAGCUCUCCGAGUGGUGGGGACGUUUAUUGGGCCUGAAGCAUCCGUAGCCAGCUGAGCAAGUCCCCAGUUAAAUCCAGCGAUUUAAUCGUUGGACUGCUGGGGAUACUGUCCGGCUAGGGGGUGGGAGAGGCCGACGGUAUUCCCGGGGUAGGGGUGAAAUCCUAUAAUCCCGGGAGGACCACCAGUGGCGAAGGCUGUUGGCUAGAACAUGCCCGACGGUGAGGGAUGAAAGCUGGGGGAGCGAACCGGAUUAGAUACCCGGGUAGUCCCAGCUGUAAACGAUGCAGGCUAGGUGUUAGGGCGGCCACGUGCCGCUCUAGUGCCGCAGGGAAGCUGUUAAGCCUGCCGCCUGGGGAGUACGGCCGCAAGGCUGAAACUUAAAGGAAUUGGCGGGA
RNAcentral lists this ribosomal RNA (889 nucleotides) under uncultured archaeon. RNAcentral's name for it is "bacterial SSU rRNA". It matches the Rfam family "Archaeal small subunit ribosomal RNA", at positions 10 to 873 of the family's 1478-position model. The record is from RNAcentral.